UGCCUUUUGUGUUGCCCACUUAAUCCUUUAAUACAGAUGAGUGAGGCGUCAAAAAAGGCAUAAAAUAACUUGAGCUGUUCCAAGCAUCCUGUUGCUGUUGUACUUCAGGAUAUUGUGAUUCAGCUGAAACAUGG
Carcharodon carcharias (great white shark) is the source of this 134-nucleotide small nucleolar RNA. RefSeq annotates it as small nucleolar RNA SNORA13. The transcript has a single exon. The record is from RefSeq and is a predicted model, not a curated record. NCBI's taxonomy places the organism in Eukaryota, Metazoa, Chordata, Chondrichthyes, Lamniformes, Lamnidae.